Molecule: ribosomal RNA, 530 nt
Filed under: uncultured Thermobacillus sp.
Lineage: Bacteria; Bacillati; Bacillota; Bacilli; Caryophanales; Paenibacillaceae
Description: partial 16S ribosomal RNA
Source: RNAcentral
CACGUAGUUAGCCGGGGCUUUCUUCUCAGGUACCGUCACCCCGGGAGCAGUUACUCUCCCGAGACUUCUUCCCUGGCAACAGAGCUUUACGAUCCGAAGACCUUCCUCACUCACGCGGCGUUGCUCCGUCAGGCUUUCGCCCAUUGCGGAAGAUUCCCUACUGCUGCCUCCCGUAGGAGUCUGGGCCGUGUCUCAGUCCCAGUGUGGCCGUUCACCCUCUCAGGUCGGCUACGCAUCGUCGCCUUGGUGGGCCGUUACCCCGCCAACCAGCUAAUGCGCCGCAGGCCCAUCCGGAAGCGGCAGGUUGCCCCGCCUUUCCCGAACCCUUCAUGCGAAAGAUCCGCUUAUCCGGUAUUAGCAUCCGUUUCCGGAUGUUACUCCCGGUCUUCCGGGCUAGGUUCGCCCACGUGUUACUCACCCGUCCGCCGCUAAGUUCCGCGUCUUCCACCGAGCUUCCGCCGACGAAACUCCGCUCGACUUGCAUGUAUUAGGCACGCCGCCAGCGUUCGUCCUGAGCCAGAUACAACUCU